RNAcentral lists this ribosomal RNA (253 nucleotides) under uncultured bacterium. RNAcentral describes it as "partial 16S ribosomal RNA". It matches the Rfam family "Bacterial small subunit ribosomal RNA", at positions 524 to 776 of the family's 1533-position model. The record is from RNAcentral.
UACAGAGACUGCAAGCGUUGUUCGGAUUCAUUGGGCGUAAAGGUUGCGUAGGCGGUGAGGUAAGUUGGAUGUGAAAUCUCAGGGCCUAACCCUGAAAGUGCAUCCAAAACUGCCUUGCUUGAGGACUGGAGGGGAGACUGGAAUUCUCGGUGUAGCGGUGAAAUGCGUAGAUAUCGAGAGGAACACCAGUGGCGAAGGCGGGUCUCUAGCCAGUUCCUGACGCUGAGGCACGAAAGCCAGGGUAGCAAACGGG